UGGGGAAUCUUGCGCAAUGCGCGAAAGCGUGACGCAGCAACGCCGCGUGGGGGAAGAAGGCCUUCGGGUUGUAAACCCCUUUCAGGAGGGACGAAGGUUCGGCGGUGAAUAGCCGACCGGACUGACGGUACCUCCACAAGAAGCCCCGGCUAACUACGUGCCAGCAGCCGCGGUAAUACGUAGGGGGCUAGCGUUGUCCGGAAUCAUUGGGCGUAAAGCGCGCGUAGGCGGCCCGGUAAGUCCGCUGUAAAAGUCCAGGGCUCAACCCUGGAAAGCCGGUGGAUACUGCCGGGCUAGAGUCCGGAAGAGGCGAGUAGAAUUCCUGGUGUAGCGGUGGAAUGCGCAGAUAUCAGGAGGAAUACCCAUAGCGAAGGCACCUCGCUGGGACGGUACUGACGCUAAGGCGCGAAAGCGUGGGGAGCGAACAGG
RNAcentral lists this ribosomal RNA (429 nucleotides) under Actinomycetes bacterium. RNAcentral describes it as "Actinobacteria bacterium partial 16S ribosomal RNA". It matches the Rfam family "Bacterial small subunit ribosomal RNA", at positions 355 to 776 of the family's 1533-position model. The record is from RNAcentral. Lineage: Bacteria; Bacillati; Actinomycetota; Actinomycetes.